GCGGACGGGUGAGUAAUACUUAGGAAUCUGCCUAUUAGUGGGGGACAACAUCUCGAAAGGGAUGCUAAUACCGCAUACGUCCUACGGGAGAAAGCAGGGGAUCUUUAUGACCUUGCGCUAAUAGAUGAGCCUAAGUCGGAUUAGCUAGUUGGUGGGGUAAAGGCCUACCAAGGCGACGAUCUGUAGCGGGUCUGAGAGGAUGAUCCGCCACACUGGGACUGAGACACGGCCCAGACUCCUACGGGAGGCAGCAGUGGGGAAUAUUGGACAAUGGGGGGAACCCUGAUCCAGCCAUGCCGCGUGUGUGAAGAAGGCCUUAUGGUUGUAAAGCACUUUAAGCGAGGAGGAGGCUUACCUAGUUAAUACCUGGGAUAAGUGGACGUUACUCGCAGAAUAAGCACCGGCUAACUCUGUGCCAGCAGCCGCGGUAAUACAGAGGGUGCAAGCGUUAAUCGGAUUUACUGGGCGUAAAGCGCGCGUAGGCGGCCAAUUAAGUCAAAUGUGAAAUCCCCGAGCUUAACUUGGGAAUUGCAUUCGAUACUGUUUGGCUAGAGUGUGGGAGAGGAUGGUAGAAUUCCAGGUGUAGCGCGGUGAAAUGCGUAGAUAUAGGAAGGAACACCAGUGGCGAAGGCGACCACCUGGA
Molecule: ribosomal RNA, 643 nt
Filed under: Acinetobacter sp. EECC-347
Lineage: Bacteria; Pseudomonadati; Pseudomonadota; Gammaproteobacteria; Moraxellales; Moraxellaceae
Description: bacterial SSU rRNA
Rfam family: Bacterial small subunit ribosomal RNA
Source: RNAcentral